This 77-nucleotide transfer RNA is filed under the name Azospirillum lipoferum. RNAcentral's name for it is "tRNA_Arg_ACG". It matches the Rfam family "tRNA". Rfam says of the family: Transfer RNA (tRNA) molecules are approximately 80 nucleotides in length. Their secondary structure includes four short double-helical elements and three loops (D, anti-codon, and T loops). Further hydrogen bonds mediate the characteristic L-shaped molecular structure. tRNAs have two regions of fundamental functional importance: the anti-codon, which is responsible for specific mRNA codon recognition, and the 3' end, to which the tRNAs corresponding amino acid is attached (by aminoacyl-tRNA synthetases). tRNAs cope with the degeneracy of the genetic code in two manners: having more than one tRNA (with a specific anti-codon) for a particular amino acid; and 'wobble' base-pairing, i.e. permitting non-standard base-pairing at the 3rd anti-codon position. RNAcentral also lists the same sequence under 67 other names. Lineage: Bacteria; Pseudomonadati; Pseudomonadota; Alphaproteobacteria; Rhodospirillales; Azospirillaceae. The record is from RNAcentral.
GCGCCCGUAGCUCAGCUGGAUAGAGCAUCAGACUACGAAUCUGAGGGUCAGGAGUUCGAAUCUCUUCGGGCGCGCCA